This 432-nucleotide ribosomal RNA is filed under the name uncultured bacterium. Its description in RNAcentral is "bacterial SSU rRNA". It matches the Rfam family "Bacterial small subunit ribosomal RNA", at positions 28 to 507 of the family's 1533-position model. The record is from RNAcentral.
GAUGAACGCUGGCGGCGUGCUUAACACAUGCAAGUCGAACGAACCUUCGGGUUAGUGGCGGACGGGUGAGUAACGCGUGAGAAUCUGCCCUCAGGAGGGGGAUAACGGCUGGAAACGGCCGCUAAUACCCCAUAUGCCGCGAGGUGAAAUGAAAUUCGCCUGAGGAUGAGCUCGCGUCUGAUUAGCUAGUUGGUGGGGUAAAGGCCUACCAAGGCAUCGAUCAGUAGCUGGUCUGAGAGGAUGAUCAGCCACACUGGGACUGAGACACGGCCCAGACUCCUACGGGAGGCAGCAGUGGGGAAUUUUCCGCAAUGGGCGAAAGCCUGACGGAGCAACGCCGCGUGAGGGAUGAAGGCCUCUGGGCUGUAAACCUCUUUUAUCAAGGAAGAAGAUCUGACGGUACUUGAUGAAUAAGCCACGGCUAAUUCCGUG